AGAGAGAGAGAGAAGAGAGAAGAAGAGAGAGUUUAUUACAUGCAUUUCUUAGCUGUUACUCUAUUCUAACUGGCACUCAAGUUUUUAAUCCAAAAUACCCUCACAAAUCUUCCCAAACCAUGUCCUGAUUCCUCCAUUAACGGUCAUUUCAUCUCUCUCUCUCUCUCAUACACAUACACACACAUCUUUUCCACCUUCCUCCUCUUUCUUUUUUCUUUCUCUGAUUGCUUCUAUAUUUAACCACUUGAGGAUAUGUUGUGGUUUAGAUAAAGAGAUAUAGAAUCUAAUAGGCACAUGAUAACAAAUGGGG
This 310-nucleotide unclassified non-coding RNA is filed under the name Hevea brasiliensis (rubber tree). Lineage: Eukaryota; Viridiplantae; Streptophyta; Magnoliopsida; Malpighiales; Euphorbiaceae. The record is from RNAcentral.